UCAAAACAUGAGUUUAUGGUGGUCAGGUC
This 29-nucleotide small RNA is filed under the name Bombyx mori (domestic silkworm). RNAcentral describes it as "ovarian small RNA-24360". The record is from RNAcentral. Lineage: Eukaryota; Metazoa; Arthropoda; Insecta; Lepidoptera; Bombycidae.